AGGACGAACGCUGGCGGCGUGCUUAACACAUGCAAGUCGAACGGUAAGGCCCCUUCGGGGGUACACGAGUGGCGAACGGGUGAGUAACACGUGAGCAACCUGCCCUUGACUUCGGAAUACCAGCUGGAAACAGCUGCUAAUACCGGAUAUGACCUCGACCUUCCUGGGUUGGGGUGGAAAGCUCCGGCGGUCAGGGAUGGGCUCGCGGCCUAUCAGCUUGUUGGUGAGGUAAUGGCUCACCAAGGCUUCGACGGGUA
Molecule: ribosomal RNA, 257 nt
Filed under: uncultured bacterium
Lineage: Bacteria
Description: partial small subunit ribosomal RNA
Rfam family: Bacterial small subunit ribosomal RNA
Source: RNAcentral